RNAcentral lists this ribosomal RNA (586 nucleotides) under uncultured bacterium. RNAcentral's name for it is "bacterial SSU rRNA". It matches the Rfam family "Bacterial small subunit ribosomal RNA", at positions 338 to 916 of the family's 1533-position model. The record is from RNAcentral.
CCUACGGGAGGCAGCAGUGGGGAAUUUUGGACAAUGGGCGCAAGCCUGAUCCAGCAAUGCCGCGUGAGUGAAGAAGGCCUUCGGGUUGUAAAGCUCUUUUGUCAGGGAAGAAACGGUGAGCUCUAAUACAGUUUGCUAAUGACGGUACCUGAAGAAUAAGCACCGGCUAACUACGUGCCAGCAGCCGCGGUAAUACGUAGGGUGCAAGCGUUAAUCGGAAUUACUGGGCGUAAAGCGUGCGCAGGCGGUUUUGUAAGUCUGUCGUGAAAUCCCCGGGCUCAACCUGGGAAUGGCGAUGGAGACUGCAAGGCUAGAGUUUGGCAGAGGGGGGUAGAAUUCCACGUGUAGCAGUGAAAUGCGUAGAUAUGUGGAGGAACACCGAUGGCGAAGGCAGCCCCCUGGGUCAAAACUGACGCUCAUGCACGAAAGCGUGGGGAGCAAACAGGAUUAGAUACCCUGGUAGUCCACGCCCUAAACGAUGUCUACUAGUUGUCGGGUCUUAAUUGACUUGGUAACGCAGCUAACGCGUGAAGUAGACCGCCUGGGGAGUACGGUCGCAAGAUUAAAACUCAAAGUGAAUUGACGG